UACGGGGGGGGCAAGCGUUGUUCGGAAUUACUGGGCGUAAAGGGCUUGUAGGCGGCCAACUAAGUCCGACGUGAAAUCCCCAGGCUUAACCUGGGAACUGCGUCGGAUACUGGAUGGCUUGAAUUCGGGAGAGGGAUGCAGAAUUCCAGGUGUAGCGGUGAAAUUCGUAGAUAUUCGGAGGAACACCAGUGGCGAAGGCGGCUCACUGGUCCAUUACUGACGCUGAGGUGCGAAAGCGUGGGGAGCAAACAGG
This 253-nucleotide ribosomal RNA is filed under the name uncultured bacterium. RNAcentral's name for it is "partial 16S ribosomal RNA". It matches the Rfam family "Bacterial small subunit ribosomal RNA", at positions 524 to 776 of the family's 1533-position model. The record is from RNAcentral.